UACAGAGGGUGCAAGCGUUAAUCGGAAUUACUGGGCGUAAAGCGCUCGUAGGCGGGUGCCUAAGUCGAUUGUGAAAGCCCUGGGCUUAACCUGGGAACUGCAGUCGAUACUGGGCAUCUAGAGUAUGAUAGAGGAUAGUGGAAUUCCCGGUGUAGCAGUGAAAUGCGUAGAUAUCGGGAGGAACACCAGUGGCGAAGGCGACUUUCUGGAUCAAUACUGACGCUGAGGAGCGAAAGCGUGGGGAGCAAACAGG
Molecule: ribosomal RNA, 253 nt
Filed under: uncultured bacterium
Lineage: Bacteria
Description: partial 16S ribosomal RNA
Rfam family: Bacterial small subunit ribosomal RNA
Source: RNAcentral